Molecule: ribosomal RNA, 254 nt
Filed under: uncultured bacterium
Lineage: Bacteria
Description: partial 16S ribosomal RNA
Rfam family: Bacterial small subunit ribosomal RNA
Source: RNAcentral
UACGUAGGGGGCUAGCGUUGCUCGGAUUCACUGGGCGUAAAGCGCGUGUAGGCGGCUGGUCAAGCGUGGUGUGAAAUCUCCGGGCUCAACCCGGAAACUGCACCGCGAACUGGCCUGGCUGGAGUGCAGGAGAGGGAAGGGGAAUUCCCGGUGUAGCGGUGAAAUGCGCAGAUAUCGGGAGGAACACCAGUGGCGAAGGCGACUUUCUGGUCUAUAACUGACACUGAGGCGCGAAAGCGUGGGGAGCAAACAGG